AACGAACGCUGGCGGCAUGCCUAACACAUGCAAGUCGAACGAGCCCUUCGGGGUUAGUGGCGCACGGGUGCGUAACGCGUGGGAAUCUGCCCUUUGCUUCGGAAUAACAGUGAGAAAUUGCUGCUAAUACCGGAUGAUGUCUUCGGACCAAAGAUUUAUCGGCAAAGGAUGAGCCCGCGUAGGAUUAGCUAGUUGGUGGGGUAAUGGCCUACCAAGGCGACGAUCCUUAGCUGGUCUGAGAGGAUGAUCAGCCACACUGGGACUGAGACACGGCCCAGACUCCUACGGGAGGCAGCAGUGGGAAUAUUGGACAAUGGGCGAAAGCCUGAUCCAGCAAUGCCGCGUGAGUGAUGAAGGCCUUAGGGUUGUAAAGCUCUUUUACCCCGGGAUGAUAAU
Molecule: ribosomal RNA, 396 nt
Filed under: uncultured Novosphingobium sp.
Lineage: Bacteria; Pseudomonadati; Pseudomonadota; Alphaproteobacteria; Sphingomonadales; Sphingomonadaceae
Description: bacterial SSU rRNA
Rfam family: Bacterial small subunit ribosomal RNA
Source: RNAcentral